RNAcentral lists this ribosomal RNA (460 nucleotides) under uncultured bacterium. RNAcentral describes it as "partial 16S ribosomal RNA". It matches the Rfam family "Bacterial small subunit ribosomal RNA", at positions 338 to 795 of the family's 1533-position model. The record is from RNAcentral.
CCUACGGGAGGCAGCAGUGAGGAAUAUUGGUCAAUGGGCGCGAGCCUGAACCAGCCAAGUAGCGUGAAGGAUGACUGCCCUACGGGUUGUAAACUUCUUUUAUAAAGGAAUAAAGUGAGGCACCUGUGCCUCUUUGUAUGUACUUUAUGAAUAAGGAUCGGCCAACUUCGUGCCAGCAGCCGCGGUAAUACGGAGGAUCCGAGCGUUAUCCGGAUUUAUUGGGUUUAACGGGAGCGUAGAUGGGUUGUUAAGUCAGUUGUGAAAGUUUGCGGCUCAACCGUAAAAUGGCAAUUGAUACUGGCAGUCUUGAGUACAGUUGAGGUAGGCGGAAUUCGUGGUGUAGCGGUGAAAUGCUUAGAUAUCACGAAGAACUCCGAUUGCGAAGGCAGCUUACUAAACUGCCACUGACAUUGAUGCUCGAAAGUGUGGGUAUCAAACAGGAUUAGAUACCCUGGUAGUC